This 563-nucleotide small RNA is filed under the name Pongo abelii (Sumatran orangutan). RNAcentral describes it as "retained intron". Lineage: Eukaryota; Metazoa; Chordata; Mammalia; Primates; Hominidae. The record is from RNAcentral.
AGACCCAGUCUCCGAGGCUUAUGGCGAUGCUGGUCCUAGGACCCGGACGAGUUAUGCGACCUCUGGGUGGCCAACUUUGGCGCUUCUUGCCUCGCGGACUCGAGCUUUGGGGCCCAGCCGAGGGGACUGCGAGAGUCUUGCUGAGGCAGUUCUGCGCGCGGCAAGCGGAGGCGUGGCGUGCCUCGGGGCGCCCUGGCUACUGCCUGGGAACCCGGCCCCUCAGCACGGCGAGGCCGCCACCCCCGUGGUCGCCGAAGGGCCCCGGAGACUCCACGCGCCCCUCGAAGCCCGGGCCUGUUUCCUGGAAGUCUUUAGCAAUCACAUUUGCUAUUGGAGGAGCUUUGCUGGCUGGAAUGAAGCACGUCAAGAAAGAAAAGGCAGAGAGUAAGUAGAUAUCAUCUGCUCAGCCCUGUAUAAAGUUCUUCCUGGCUAUGGACUAGCACCUUUUUUGUUGUUUUUUAGCUUUUUGUUUUGAAACAACUUUAGAUUUACCAAAAAAAUUGCAAAGAUAGCAUAGGUUCUACAUACCUUUCACCCAGCUUCCCCUAAUAUUAACAUCUUAU